Molecule: long non-coding RNA, 1004 nt
Organism: Anopheles stephensi (Asian malaria mosquito)
Lineage: Eukaryota; Metazoa; Arthropoda; Insecta; Diptera; Culicidae
Exons: 2
Source: RefSeq, a predicted model, not a curated record
CAAAAAUGGUGUUAAAAUUAAUGUUUAUUAUUAUAAAGCAUAAAUUAAUCGAUUUUCAGCGUUAGUUAAAGAAAUAAUAACAAAACUAUGUGAAACAUCGGAAGAACAGCCAUGAGAAGAAUUCAAACAUAGACGAAUAUACACGAACUCAAAAUUGAUGCGAUCACGAAAAAAAUCCGUUCAGUUAAAGGUUUUAAUCAGGUUAUUAAAAUAUUAAACAUAUUGGUCCAGCAACCGAAGCGUUCACAGUUUUACCAAGCGAAUAACAAUCAUAGCAUCAUUUGCGGUCUAAUUAUACAUUCCUUUGUUGUUUUCGGUUUUGGAAAUCAUCCUUUUAAAGGUGUUUGGCUACGACAGGAGCUCUAGCUUGUUGAAGUGCGCCCGUACAACAUUUUUCUUGUCGGUAAAUUUGUUUUAUUAACGCACCGUGAAAGAAUACAGUGAGUUUCAAUAGCGGUAUGUGCUGAAGCGAAUCAACUGAGACACACAUCGUUCUUUUUACUUUUUGCUUGCAGAUAUGAAUUCUAGCCAAAGCUUUGGAAUGUAGAUAUGCGAAAUCAUUUUAUUCAGUGGUUAGAAAUGAAACUUAAUCACGGAAGUAAUAAGCAACGUGCGUGCGAUGCGCUAAAUUUUAUAAUAGGCCCUAACUUGCUAGUGAAUAUGUCGUGGACAGGAAAGGGUAAAGCCGGAGAAAAGGUAGCUUUAUGCAAUUUUAUAAACAUAUUGCAAGCCAUUCAGGAAGUUGGUGAUAACUGUAUGAACGAAGAGCUUAAAGCAUGGAUGCAGCUAAAACUUCAUCAUAGUGAUAAUGUGCUAAAAAGAAAGUAUUCUAGUAAGCGUACUUGCCAUGAGCGUAAAAAUAAGUUACCCAAGAUAGAUUAAGACAAUUCUAUAUGUAGGUAGUUAAUUACAGUUACAGGAACAAUAAGAUAGACAUUCAGUUUUGUGCAUCACACGCAACACGUUUUUUGUCAAUAUGAAAUUAAAUAAAUAUGAAAUACUUA